Molecule: ribosomal RNA, 423 nt
Filed under: uncultured bacterium
Lineage: Bacteria
Description: bacterial SSU rRNA
Rfam family: Bacterial small subunit ribosomal RNA
Source: RNAcentral
AAGACCUUGCACUUUUGGAGCGGCCGAUGUCUGAUUAGCUAGUUGGUGGGGUAAUGGCCUACCAAAGCUUCGAUCAGUAGCUGGUCUGAGAGGACGGCCAGCCACACUGGGACUGAGACACGGCCCAGACUCCUACGGGAGGCAGCAGUGGGGAAUUCUGGACAAUGGGCGCAAGCCUGAUCCAGCCAUGCCGCGUGAGUGAAGAAGGCCUUCGGGUUGUAAAGCUCUUUCAGCCGGGAAGAAAAGGUUGCGACUAAUAAUCGCAAUUCAUGACGGUACCGAAAGAAGAAGCACCGGCUAACUACGUGCCAGCAGCCGCGGUAAUACGUAGGGUGCGAGCGUUAAUCGGAAUUACUGGGCGUAAAGGGUGCGCAGGCGGUUUUGUAAGUCAGAUGUGAAAUCCCCGGGCUUAACCUGGGAACU